GGCCCUACACUUCUUGAGGCUCUUGACCAGAUCAAUGAGCCCAAGAGGCCUUCAGACAAGCCUCUCCGUCUACCACUUCAGGAUGUGUACAAGAUUGGUGGUAUUGGAACUGUCCCGGUUGGUCGUGUUGAAACUGGUGUCUUGAAGCCUGGUAUGGUUGUGACCUUUGGUCCUACUGGUCUGACCACUGAAGUUAAGUCUGUUGAGAUGCACCAUGAAGCUCUUACAGAGGCACUUCCUGGUGAUAAUGUUGGGUUCAAUGUUAAGAAUGUUGCUGUUAAGGAUCUCAAGCGUGGUUAUGUUGCAUCCAACUCCAAGGAUGAUCCUGCUAAGGAGGCUGCAAACUUCACUUCUCAGGUCAUCAUUAUGAACCAUCCUGGACAAAUUGGAAACGGAUAUGCCCCAGUCCUCGACUGCCACACCUCACACAUUGCUGUUAAGUUUGCUGAACUUUUGACCAAGAUUGACAGGCGAUCUGGUAAGGAGCUUGAGAAGGAACCCAAGUUCUUGAAGAAUGGUGAUGCUGGUAUGAUUAAGAUGAUUCCCACCAAGCCCAUGGUUGUGGAGACCUUCUCCGAGUACCCACCCUUGGGCCGUUUUGCUGUGAGGGACAUGCGUCAGACCGUGGCUGUUGGUGUUAUCAAGAAUGUUGAGAAGAAGGACCCAUCCGGUGCAAAGGUCACCAAGUCUGCUGCUAAAAAGAAGUGAACCGUGCUGGCUAAACCUAAUGAAGUUUCCGCAGAUGGAGUAUUUUAUUAUGAUAAUAAUAGUUUGAUAGACUUUAUCAUUUAUGAUAUAGUUGGUCUUUUGCUUGGUUUUGCAUGUUAUAGUG
This 832-nucleotide long non-coding RNA is filed under the name Gossypium raimondii (Peruvian cotton). RNAcentral describes it as "long non-coding RNA (GRAI_LNC000253)". The record is from RNAcentral. Lineage: Eukaryota; Viridiplantae; Streptophyta; Magnoliopsida; Malvales; Malvaceae.